UGAUGAAAGCGAACCAGAGGGGACCCA
RNAcentral lists this non-coding RNA (27 nucleotides) under Homo sapiens (human). The record is from RNAcentral. Lineage: Eukaryota; Metazoa; Chordata; Mammalia; Primates; Hominidae.